RNAcentral lists this ribosomal RNA (445 nucleotides) under uncultured bacterium. Its description in RNAcentral is "bacterial SSU rRNA". It matches the Rfam family "Bacterial small subunit ribosomal RNA", at positions 354 to 796 of the family's 1533-position model. The record is from RNAcentral.
GUGAGGAAUAUUGGUCAAUGGACGGAAGUCUGAACCAGCCAUGCCGCGUGAAGGAAUAAGGCCCUAUGGGUCGUAAACUUCUUUUGUGGUGGAGCAAUAAGAUCUACGCGUAGGUCGAUGAGAGUACAUCACGAAUAAGCAUCGGCUAACUCCGUGCCAGCAGCCGCGGUAAUACGGAGGAUGCAAGCGUUAUCCGGAAUUAUUGGGUUUAAAGGGUGCGUAGGCUGUUUUGCAAGUCAGGGGUGAAAGCCCGGAGCUCAACUCCGGAACUGCCUUUGAUACUGCGAGGCUGGAAUACGGAUGCCGUGGGAGGAAUGAGUAGUGUAGCGGUGAAAUGCAUAGAUAUUACUCAGAACACCGAUUGCGAAGGCAUCUCACGAAUCCGUCAUUGACGCUGAGGCACGAAAGCGUGGGGAUCAAACAGGAUUAGAAACCCUAGUAGUCC